Long non-coding RNA from Monodelphis domestica (gray short-tailed opossum), 1337 nucleotides. RefSeq lists it as uncharacterized. NCBI's taxonomy places the organism in Eukaryota, Metazoa, Chordata, Mammalia, Didelphimorphia, Didelphidae. The record is from RefSeq and is a predicted model, not a curated record.
AAUUUUCUGAGUAAUCUCCUCCUAACCAAAAAAAAAAAGGUUGAAAUUGACUGUGCAAUUCCCUUUCAAGUGAUCUAGCAGCAGGGCAGGUCCAAGAAUGGCUGAGUGACUACAGCAAUCAGUUCUUUAAAACCCCUGCGGGAUUCUCAGCUUGUGCCUGUGGCUCUCUACAAAAACUCAGAGUGCCAGGAGGACAUGCCUGGCAGGCUCAUUGAGUCCUCAGAUUACCCUCCAGGAGAGCCAUCUAGAGCCUUGGAUUAAAUUAACAUUUUUGUAACAAGUUUGUAAAGUGAUCCUGCCCUUGGCAUCAAACAAACAAAUGCUUCUCUGGUCUGAGGCUUCUUGUGCCUGCACUUGAGAAACACUUGACAAGUGUCUACAUGUUCUAGAAAGGGAAUUUUUUUCAGAGUUGGCCACUUCUUCGAAAUAGUCAGAUCUUGUCAAGCCUCUGAAGCAAGGGGGGAAGGAGAGAAAAAGUUGAAACACAAGGUUCAUCUGAAAGGAGAAGAAUCUUAACCAGUUCAGAAAUAAAUGUAGGAAACAGAUGAUAAAACAAAUGAUGACAGUAAAAAAAAAUCGGGGGAAACUAAAAGGAUCAAUCUCUGGAGUCCAGAGACAAAAGCUCUUUUUGUGUAGUGAUACAAAAUUGGAAAUUGAGGAGAUGCUCGUCAAUUGAAGAAUAGCUGGACAGACUGGUACAAGUUGGUGAUAAAAUACCAUUGUGCUCUAAGAAAUGACAAAUAAGCAAGAUGAUUUCAGAAAAAGCUGGAAAGAUCUACAGGAGUUGAUGCAGAGUGAAGUAAGCAGAACAGUGAAACAUUAUACACAUGAUCAACUGUGAAAACUUGGCUACUCAGUGUUGUAAUGAUCUGAGACAAUCCUAAAAGACUUAUGAUGGGGAAUGCUACCCACCUCCGGAGAAAGAACUUUUGGAGUCUGAUGGAUAUGGAUCAAAGCAUAUCUUUCACAUCAGUGUAUUUAUGGUUUUAUUUUGGGGUUUGAGGGCCAGCUGCUCAGCCUCAUCCAGGCGGUGUUGCAAGUCUUUCACAGUCUGUUCCAGAUUCUUCUUCAUUCGCUCCAGGAAGCCUGAUAACUUUCUGGGUCCAUCCUAAUCAGCAGCCAUUUAAACACCUACUGAGUGCCAGUCACUGUGCUAUUCAAAGUUUCAGAGUUCUGAGCUAUAGUAUGCAAAGCCAACUAGCAUUUCUUGCAUCCCUACUGGCAUCCUCAACCUCACUUUGGAGUUGUGAAACAUCUGCUUCAAGCUUCUUCUUUGUAUGAAUGAGGCUGGUAUUCUAAAAUAAAGAAAAAGAAUAAAGUUAGCCUUGUGUCUAUGG